Long non-coding RNA from Lynx canadensis (Canada lynx), 100 nucleotides. RefSeq lists it as uncharacterized. The record is from RefSeq and is a predicted model, not a curated record. The transcript has 3 exons. NCBI's taxonomy places the organism in Eukaryota, Metazoa, Chordata, Mammalia, Carnivora, Felidae.
UGGGCAGAGAGAGCUGCAGUGGGGUUGUGAAGUAUGAUUGGUUAUAUACUGUGGGAUUGGGGGAGGUAAAAUCAAGAGAAAUUUCAAAAAGGAUUAUCAU